GACGAACGCUGGCGGCGUGCUUAACACAUGCAAGUCGAACGGAAAGACCCUGCUUUUGCGGGGUGCUCGAGUGGCGAACGGGUGAGUAACACGUGAGUAACCUGCCCUUGACUUUGGGAUAACUUCAGGAAACUGGGGCUAAUACCGGAUAGGAGCUCCUGCUGCAUGGUGGGGGUUGGAAAGUUUCGGCGGUUGGGGAUGGACUCGCGGCUUAUCAGCUUGUUGGUGGGGUAGUGGCUUACCAAGGCUUUGACGGGUAGCCGGCCUGAGAGGGUGACCGGCCACAUUGGGACUGAGAUACGGCCCAGACUCCUACGGGAGGCAGCAGUGGGGAAUAUUACACAAUGGGCGGAAGCCUGAUGCAGCAACGCCGCGUGCGGGAUGACGGCCUUCGGGUUGUAAACCGCUUUCGCCUGUGGCGAAGCGUGAGUGACGGUAAUGAGUAAAGAAGCACCGGCUAACUACGUG
This 468-nucleotide ribosomal RNA is filed under the name uncultured bacterium. RNAcentral describes it as "partial 16S ribosomal RNA". It matches the Rfam family "Bacterial small subunit ribosomal RNA", at positions 28 to 507 of the family's 1533-position model. The record is from RNAcentral.